CUUGUCGGGUAAGUUCCGACCUGCACGAAUGGAGUAAUGAUGGCCACACUGUCUCCUCCAGAGACUCAGCGAAGUUGAAAUGUUUGUGAUGAUGCAAUCUCCCCGCGGAAAGACGGAAAGACCCCAUGAACCUUUACUGUAGCUUUACAUUGGACUUUGAACAGAUCUGUGUAGGAUAGGUGGGAGGCUUUGAAGUAAGGUCGCUAGAUCUUAUGGAGCCGACGUUGAAAUACCACCCUGGUGUGU
RNAcentral lists this ribosomal RNA (246 nucleotides) under Vannella robusta. RNAcentral's name for it is "Vannella sp. CB-2014 partial Bacterial large subunit ribosomal RNA". It matches the Rfam family "Bacterial large subunit ribosomal RNA", at positions 1968 to 2213 of the family's 2925-position model. The record is from RNAcentral. Lineage: Eukaryota; Discosea; Flabellinia; Vannellidae.